This 537-nucleotide ribosomal RNA is filed under the name Triticum aestivum (bread wheat). Its description in RNAcentral is "partial small subunit ribosomal RNA". Lineage: Eukaryota; Viridiplantae; Streptophyta; Magnoliopsida; Poales; Poaceae. The record is from RNAcentral.
AUGUCUAUCCCUCCUGAAGAAGUAAAAGAAGCUGCUGUAGAUGAAGAUGAAGAACCUGAGAUUCAUUUGCCUAUUGUCAUACAAGAGCGUGAUGUGUCAGGUUUACCUAAUCCUCUUAAUGACAUGUCUUCAUAUGAUUUGUUUGCUACUACCUUGCAUUGUAUGAUGCCAUCACUUAAGGUAGAUUUGAAAAACUAUUUGCUUGUACAUGAUCAUACACACCCUGUUAGUGGCAUUGCUCAUAUCUCUGUUCAUGAUACUUAUGUUCCUGAUGCUAUACCCACGCUUAAUGAAACAUGUGAUUCUAAUACUAGCAUUGAGCUUACUGAUUUGUACCAUCCUAAACAUGUGCUUUAUAGCUAUGCUUAUGUAAUUGGUUAUUCUAUUGAUGAUUUAGAGGGUAUUACCCCUGUCACUUGUAUCAUCUCCUUGGUUGAGUGCUCUUUCAGGUUGUUGCUUGUGCAUGAUCCACUACAUGCUGAUCAAGUUCGAUAUGACAUUCCCUGGGACCUCGGUGGACCCAUGGCAUGGGGAUGA